Molecule: ribosomal RNA, 496 nt
Filed under: uncultured bacterium
Lineage: Bacteria
Description: partial 16S ribosomal RNA
Rfam family: Bacterial small subunit ribosomal RNA
Source: RNAcentral
GAUGAACGCUGGCGGCGUGCCUAAUACAUGCAAGUCGAGCGAACAGAUGAGGAGCUUGCUCCUCUGACGUUAGCGGCGGACGGGUGAGUAACACGUGGAUAACCUACCUAUAAGACUGGGAUAACUUCGGGAAACCGGAGCUAAUACCGGAUAAUAUAUUGAACCGCAUGGUUCAAUAGUGAAAGACGGUUUUGCUGUCACUUAUGGAUGGAUCCGCGCCGCAUUAGCUAGUUGGUAAGGUAACGGCUUACCAAGGCGACGAUGCGUAGCCGACCUGAGAGGGUGAUCGGCCACACUGGAACUGAGACACGGUCCAGACUCCUACGGGAGGCAGCAGUAGGGAAUCUUGCGCAAUGGGCGAAAGCCUGACGGAGCAACGCCGCGUGAGUGAUGAAGGUCUUCGGAUCGUAAAACUCUGUUAUUAGGGAAGAACAAAUGUGUAAGUAACUAUGCACGUCUGGACGGUACCUAAUAAGAAAGCCACGGCUAACUACGU